Molecule: ribosomal RNA, 500 nt
Filed under: uncultured Glomeromycotina
Lineage: Eukaryota; Fungi; Glomeromycota
Description: partial small subunit ribosomal RNA
Rfam family: Eukaryotic small subunit ribosomal RNA
Source: RNAcentral
CCAAUAGCGUAUAUUAAAGUUGUUGCAGUUAAAAAGCUCGUAGUUGAAUUUUGGGUCUGGCCGGGCGGUCCGCCCUCUGGGUGAGCACUGUUCCGACGCCGGGCCUAUCCUUCUGGUGAGUCGGCAUGUCCUUUGUUGGGUGUGUCGGGGAACCAGGACCAUUACCUUGAAAAAAUUAGAGUGUUCAAAGCAGGCGUAUGCUCGGAUACAUUAGCAUGGAAUAAUGAAAUAGGACGCGUGGUGCUAUUUUGUUGGUUUCUAGAACCGCCGUAAUGAUUAAUAGGGAUAGUUGGGGGCAUUAGUAUUAAAUUGUCAGAGGUGAAAUUCUUGGAUUUAUUGAAGACUAACUUCUGCGAAAGCAUUUGCCAAGGAUGUUUUCAUUAAUCAAGAACGAAAGUUAGGGGAUCGAAGACGAUCAGAUACCGUCGUAGUCUUAACCAUAAACUAUGCCGACUAGGAAUCGGGCGAUGUUAUUCUCAUGACUCGCCCGGCGCCUUAUG